Canis lupus familiaris (dog) is the source of this 424-nucleotide long non-coding RNA. RefSeq lists it as uncharacterized. The transcript has 2 exons. NCBI's taxonomy places the organism in Eukaryota, Metazoa, Chordata, Mammalia, Carnivora, Canidae. The record is from RefSeq and is a predicted model, not a curated record.
CCAUUGGUCCUUGAGGGAAAACUCUGAGAAGACUAAACACUGGCCAGGGUAGGGGUGGGGGCCCUCCAAGGGCUCUUGCACUGUGGUAGAGGUGGGGGCCCCUUCAACGGAUCUUGCACUGUGCAGCUUGACUAGCCCCCGAGAUGCAGGGGCACUGGCCAACACCUCUCCUUCCACUCCCAUCCCCUGGUACAUCAACAAGCCUCUGAAGGGCAGGAAGAGAGCAUGGGGAGAUGGUGGGAAGAGUCUGAGCCUCUGCCUCUCACCUCCCAUUUGUCUCAUCCCACCUGCUUCCAGAAGCCUGUCUGAACAGCUGACUCCACCCUGAGUCACACCUUCUCAGACAGAGGCACCCCAUUCUGUGGCUUUGUCCCCAAAGACUCCUUAAGCCUCUCUAACAUGCGUUGAGGAAAUUCAGAACCUA